RNAcentral lists this ribosomal RNA (288 nucleotides) under uncultured bacterium. RNAcentral's name for it is "partial 16S ribosomal RNA". It matches the Rfam family "Bacterial small subunit ribosomal RNA", at positions 337 to 622 of the family's 1533-position model. The record is from RNAcentral.
UCCUACGGGGGGCAGCAGUGAGGAAUAUUGGUCAAUGGGAGAGAUCCUGAACCAGCCAAGCCGCGUGAGGGAAGACGGCCCUAUGGGUUGUAAACCUCUUUUGUCGGGGAGCAAAAGACGCCACGCGUGGCGUUCCGAGAGUACCCGAAGAAAAAGCAUCGGCUAACUCCGUGCCAGCAGCCGCGGUAAUACGGAGGAUGCGAGCGUUAUCCGGAUUUAUUGGGUUUAAAGGGUGCGCAGGCGGAAGAUCAAGUAAGCGGUAAAAUUGAGAGGAUAAACGUUUUAGAG